CUCAGGAUGAACGCUGGCGGCGUGCCUAAUACAUGCAAGUCGAGCGAACAGAUGAGGAGCUUGCUCCUCUGAUGUUAGCGGCGGACGGGUGAGUAACACGUGGGUAACCUACCUAUAAGACUGGAAUAACUCCGGGAAACCGGGGCUAAUGCCGGAUAAUAUGCAGAACCGCAUGGUUCUGCAAUGAAAGACGGUUUUGCUGUCACUUAUAGAUGGACCCGCGCCGUAUUAGCUAGUUGGUAAGGUAACGGCUUACCAAGGCAACGAUACGUAGCCGACCUGAGAGGGUGAUCGGCCACACUGGAACUGAGACACGGUCCAGACUCCUACGGGAGGCAGCAGUAGGGAAUCUUCCGCAAUGGGCGAAAGCCUGACGGAGCAACGCCGCGUGAGUGAUGAAGGUCUUCGGAUCGUAAAACUCUGUUAUUAGGGAAGAACAAGUGCGUAGGUAACUAUGCGCACCUUGACGGUACCUAAUCAGAAAGCCACGGCUAACUACGUGCCAGCAGCCGCGGUAAUACGUAGGUGGCAAGCGUUAUCCGGAAUUAUUGGGCGUAAAGCGCGCGUAGGCGGUUUUUUAAGUCUGAUGUGAAAGCCCACGGCUCAACCGUGGAGGGUCAUUGGAAACUGGAAAACUUGAGUGCAGAAGAGGAAAGUGGAAUUCCAUGUGUAGCGGUGAAAUGCGCAGAGAUAUGGAGGAACACCAGUGGCGAAGGCGACUUUCUGGUCUGCAACUGACGCUGAUGUGCGAAAGCGUGGGGAUCAAACAGG
Molecule: ribosomal RNA, 771 nt
Filed under: Staphylococcus carnosus
Lineage: Bacteria; Bacillati; Bacillota; Bacilli; Caryophanales; Staphylococcaceae
Description: bacterial SSU rRNA
Rfam family: Bacterial small subunit ribosomal RNA
Source: RNAcentral